This 1002-nucleotide long non-coding RNA is filed under the name Hordeum vulgare. RNAcentral's name for it is "long non-coding RNA (HVUL_LNC002825)". The record is from RNAcentral. Lineage: Eukaryota; Viridiplantae; Streptophyta; Magnoliopsida; Poales; Poaceae.
GAAGGAGAGAGAGAUGCGGUAGCGGCGGCGGUGGACUUCCCAUCGCUUCAGUGCAUCCCUCUAGAUCGGAUUAGGGUUAGAGAGUGGGGAACCAGUAGCGGCGGCGAACCUCGUAACCCGUGCCAUGGUCCACACCUCCUCUAUAUAUAGCACUGCGCGACAGGGGCCCACCAGCCUUGCUUGGGCUGGACGCCCCCGAUCAGGGCGUGAGUCAAGGUCCAAUGGGCCGUUGGACCCAUUGAGAAAGAGAUCAAUCUAACAUUCUCCCCCUUGAUCUCAUCAUAUACUUUUAACUUCACCCGUUUCGUAACAGAUCAAUACAUAGGGCAUGUUUCAUCGUCACGGCUCAAUUGCCGAUGGAAUCAGACAGCCACAAUGUACCUCUCUAUUUUGAGACAGAUUCUUUAACCUUGGGUCCUUUAUUGUUCGGAAAUAUUAGACUAUACCAUAAAACCCAUGUCGACUAUGUGUUCUCCGAACACACUGGGCGGUAAGCCUUUGAUAAGCAGAUCUGCAAACACUUGUUUGUUGCUUUUAUGCUUCAAGCAUUUUUCGAUAAUUCCGGACGUUCUCCUUCACAACACGUAACUCUUUGUCAGUGUGUUUGGCAUCAACACUUGACUCAUUGUGACAGGAGCGAAAGAACUUAAAAUGGUAAUCGUCGUUGUCAACCAUUAUCCACUCCGGGUACAGGUAGCCUUAACCAUGUCGCCCGUCCCUCAGCCUUAUAUCAAGCUAUAACAUAUCAUUGCAUCACAUUGAUGACAAUCGUUUUACUCAUUCGGAGAUUUUCCACACAAAACUCCGAGUAUGAAAGUUAGCGACAAUUGUGGAUUUCGCUAUACAUUUCACAAGUCCUGCCUUUGUACUCACAAUCUUUUGAGAGCACUUAUUUCUUUUAGCAUGAGGCCGAUAUCUUUGACUCCAUUCCAUUGAUUUAUCUAUGGACUGGACAUUGCCAAAACAACCCGGAUAUAUACGUGAACUGUGUCAGGGUAACAU